AAAUGCGAUAAGUAAUGUGAAUUGCAGAAUUCAGUGAAUCAUCGAAUCUUUGAACGCACCUUGCGCUCCUUGGUAUUCCUUGGAGCAUGCCUGUUUGAGUAUCAUGAAAUCUUCAAAGUAAAUCUUCUGUUAACUCAAUUGGUUUCUACUUUGGUAUUGGAGGUCUUUGCAGCUUCACACCUGCUCCUCUUUGUUCAUUAGCUGGAUCUCAGUGUUAUGCUUGGUUCCACUCGGCGUGAUAAGUUAUCUAUCGCUGAGGACACUGUAAAAGGUGGCCAAGGUAAAUGCAGAUGAACCGCUUCUAAUAGUCCAUUGACUUGGACAAUACUUUUAUGAUCUGAUCUCAAAUCAGGUAGGACUACCCGCUGAACUUAAGC
This 377-nucleotide unclassified non-coding RNA is filed under the name plant metagenome. RNAcentral's name for it is "partial contains 5.8S ribosomal RNA, internal transcribed spacer 2, and large subunit ribosomal RNA". The stretch from base 1 to 104 matches the Rfam family "5.8S ribosomal RNA", at positions 51 to 154 of the family's 154-position model. The record is from RNAcentral.